UUUGGUUCAAGAUCAAGCUCCUGUAGUUGUUGAUCAGUUGCAGAUCUUUCAAGAAGCUCUGAGGGAGCAACAAGAAGGGUUAGAAAGGCAAAGGACAGCUCACCUCAACCUGGAAUCCAAAGUGGAUGGUCUAGUUUCCAAUGUGGGAUCUUUGAAUGACAAAUUUGACCAGCUCUUAGCCUUUCUCAAGAAACCCUAGGAUUCUAUGCACUUGUUUUAAGCUGUUUUGUUUUUCUUGUUAUCUUCUGAACAAUUUUAUUUGUCUGGUUUAUAUGUUUCAAGUUGUCUUGUUUAUGUUUUGCUUGAUUUUUUUUAACUUGUUAUUCAUAUUUUUCUUUAUUUUGUCUGAACAAUUUCUUAUUUUGG
This 366-nucleotide long non-coding RNA is filed under the name Trifolium pratense (red clover). Its description in RNAcentral is "long non-coding RNA (TPRA_LNC011042)". Lineage: Eukaryota; Viridiplantae; Streptophyta; Magnoliopsida; Fabales; Fabaceae. The record is from RNAcentral.